AGCCUGCUUCUCCCUCUGCCUGUGUCUGCCUCUCUCUCUCUCUCUCUGUGUGACUAUCAUAAAUAAAUAAAAAAUUUAAAAAUUAAAUUAAAUUAAAAAAAAACAAACCUAGAAAUACCUUUUACAACUAAGAUUAUAAAUUCACUCAUUUUUUCUUCUAGAACAUUUCCAUAGGUUUCAUUUUAUUUUUACAGGCAAUUCUUUCAUCCAUCUAGAAUUGACUUUAAUGUGAGAAUGUAUGCUAGGUAUUGUCUCUUAGCACUUGGCAUUAGGUCUCAUGCCUCCCCAUCUCAUACCACAGGGGAUGAAAGGCUAAAAAUGCAGUUUUGCAGACUUAAAGAUAGCAGGGUUCCGGACAGUUUAGGUUCUGCCAAUGAUUUGCAUUUCGUCAAGAUUUAGAAGGUGGAGAUUAUGUACCAUGACUGUACUAGUGGGACAAGCAAGCUUCUGCCACCAACAGCACUGGCUUCCUGUUCCCUGGAUCACAGAAGAUGAUAGAACCUUGAGUCUAAAAGUAUGUUGGCCCCCAGUUUCUGCCCCUUCAGCUUUUUCUUUGAUUUUUCAAAAAAUUAUUUAUUUGUUUGUUUGUUUAUUUAUUUAUUUAUUUGAGAGAGCACAAGCAAGCGGGGAGAUGGUGGUGGAGGAGAGAGCAAGGGAGAAGCAGGCACCUCCUGAAUGCAGAGCUCAACACAGAGCUCAGUCUCAAGACCCCAAAAUCAUGACCUCAGCAGAAGGCAGACAGACGUUUAACCGACUGAGCCAUCCAGGCGCCUCUUUCCUCUGAUUUUUAAGGAUCUGUAUUCUAUUCUUUGAAAUACCUUGUGGAAUUUCUGUUCUAUGUGAACCCUGACACAAGCAGUAUGUAACAGGAAUCCAGCUUUCUUCCUAAACAGUCAGGCACUAUUAUUAUCAUCUCCAUUUGAAAGCUGAGAAAACUGGAGCACAUGAUGUCAUGUCACCUGGGCGUGCAUGUUGGUACACAGCUCUCUUCGUGCAUGGAACAUGGGAACGGUUCACUGCCAGUGAAAGGCAGAGUUAGAAGACAGAUCUGUCAGAAUUUGCACAAAGACGGGAGGAGACGCCCAAGGCUACAUAAUUGGUAAAUAUAAAAUAACCUUUGUAAAUCAGAACCUGGCACAUUAUUUUAAAAAAAGAUGAGCGAGAGAGUGCCAGCGAGCGAGCGAGUACGAACAGGGUGGGAGAGAGCAGCAGACUCCCUGCUGAGCAGAGGCCCACACAGGGCUCAGGAUCAGGACCCUGGGCUCUUGACCUGAGCUGAAGGUGGACACUUCCCACUGAGCCAUCCAGGCACCCAGGGCCUAGCACUCCCAGAACUUCUUAAGGACAUGGCUCUGUUUCUGGUUCUUGGAUUAAACACAUUGCAGUGAUUGUUCAUAAUGACCCUCAGUCAUCAAGGAAGUGUAAAAUUACAUUUAGAAUAUAGUUUAAUAAAGCAGAGAUGGGCUAUAUUUUUAAAUACAUGAUUACAAUAGUUAAGUUUCUACAAAGGUUAAUUGAGGCUUUAAGAACAUUCAUUUAUGGUGGUCCUUUCUAACCUGGGCUCCAUGGAUUUGCUCUAGGUGUCCCUGAACUUUUAAAAAUUGUGUGCAGGGGAUCCCUGGGUGGCGCAGUGGUUUGGCGCCUGCCUUUGGCCCAGGGCGCGAUCCUGGAGACCCGGGAUCGAAUCCCACGUCGGGCUCCCGGUGCAUGGAG
Canis lupus familiaris (dog) is the source of this 1713-nucleotide long non-coding RNA. RefSeq lists it as uncharacterized. The transcript has 3 exons. The record is from RefSeq and is a predicted model, not a curated record. Lineage: Eukaryota; Metazoa; Chordata; Mammalia; Carnivora; Canidae.